GNANUGAGGAUGGCGGACGGGUGAGUAACGCGUAAGGAACUUGCCUCUUGGUCUGGGACAACUGUUGGAAACGACAGCUAAUACCGGAUAUUAUGAGAUUCUCGCAUGGGAAACUUAUGAAAGCUAUAUGCGCCAAGAGAGAGCCUUGCGUUCCAUUAGCUAGUUGGUGGGGUAACGGCCCACCAAGGCGACGAUGGAUAGCCGGCCUGAGAGGGUGAACGGCCACAAGGGGACUGAGACACGGCCCUUACUCCUACGGGAGGCAGCAGUGGGGAAUAUUGGACAAUGGGCCACAAGCCUGAUCCAGCAAUUCUGUGUGCACGAUGAAGGUCUUCGGAUUGUAAAGUGCUUUCAGUUGGGAAGAAGAAAGUGACGGUACCAACAGAAGAAGCGACGGCUAAAUACGUGCCAGCAGCCGCGGUAAUACGUAUGUCGCAAGCGUUAUCCGGAUUUAUUGGGCGUAAAGCGCGUCUAGGCGGAAAAAUAAGUCUGAUGUUAAAAUGCGGGGCUCAACUCCGUGNUGCGUUGGAAACUGUUUUUCUAGAGUACUGGAGAGGUGGGCGGANCUACAAGUGUAGAGGUGAAAUUCGUAGAUAUUUGUAGGAAUGCCGAUGGAGAAGUCAGCUCACUGGACAGAUACUGACGCUGAAGCGCGAANCGUGGGGAGCAAACAGGA
RNAcentral lists this ribosomal RNA (676 nucleotides) under uncultured prokaryote. RNAcentral describes it as "bacterial SSU rRNA". It matches the Rfam family "Bacterial small subunit ribosomal RNA", at positions 86 to 777 of the family's 1533-position model. The record is from RNAcentral.